AUGCAUCCAUGGAGGGGCCAUCCCCCUCAGCCUCCUAUCGGCCAGACCUGCUUCACGACAGGGCCGCUGGACCUGGUCGCCCAAGCAGCUGCAGCGGGGAACGGGUCGGGUCCCAGUUAUGGGGCCGUGUUAAACAGUGACAGGAGGCCUCUGACUGAGGACGUGGAGAGAUGGGGGAGGAAAUGGGAGGAGGAAAAGAUAGAGGAAGAAUAUCCCGUGGACACCAGGACUCUGACACCCCUCCCCCUCAUCCACCCCGCAGGUCAGCCCAAGGCUUCCCCCUCGGUCACUCUCUUCCCACCCUCCUCUGAGGAGCUUCAAGCCAACAAGGCCACACUAGUGUGUCUGAUCAAUGACUUCUACCCGGGAGCCGUGGAAGUGGCCUGGAAGGCAGAUGGCGGCACCGUCAACACGGGAGUGGAGACCAGCACACCCUCCAAACAGAGCAACAACAAGUACGAGGCCAGUAGCUACCUGAGCCUGACGUCCGACCAGUGGAGGUCCCACAACAGCUACAGCUGCCAGGUCACGCACGAAGGGAGCACCGUGGAGAAGACAGUGGCCCGUGCAGAAUGCUCUUAGGCCCCUGACCCUUACCCCAGCCACAGGGGCCUGGAGCUGCAGGAUCCCAGGGGAGGGGUCUCUCUCCCCAUCCCAAGUCAUCCAUCCCUUCUCAAUAAAUAGCCUCAUUGUCAACCAGAAA
Chlorocebus sabaeus (green monkey) is the source of this 703-nucleotide non-coding RNA. The record is from the annotation of a RefSeq genome assembly. NCBI's taxonomy places the organism in Eukaryota, Metazoa, Chordata, Mammalia, Primates, Cercopithecidae.